GUGGGCCAGGCGACCGCGGACCGGCGUGGGCCAGCAAUGGACCGUGUCGGGAUGAGGAAAGUCCGGGCUCCAUAGGGCAGGAAGCAGGCUAACGGCCUGGCGGGGUGACCCGACGGAAAGCGCCGCAGAAAAGAAGACUCCCGCUGCCCGCCUCGGCGGGUGAGAGAAAAGCUGAAACGGUGGUGUAAGAGACCACCAGCAUCGUGGCAACACGGUGGCUUGGCAAGCCCCUUCCGGAGCAAGCGCAUGUAGGAACGCCAAGGUGUGGCCCGCACCGCGUUCGGGUAGCGCGCUAGAGCCCGGCGGAGACGCCGGGAGUAGAUAAAUGGCCGCCCACGACAGAACCCGGCUUAUAGGCCCUCUUC
This 365-nucleotide RNase P RNA is filed under the name bovine gut metagenome. Its description in RNAcentral is "Bacterial RNase P class A". It matches the Rfam family "Bacterial RNase P class A". From Rfam's summary of the family: Ribonuclease P (RNase P) is a ubiquitous endoribonuclease, found in archaea, bacteria and eukarya as well as chloroplasts and mitochondria. The record is from RNAcentral.